AGAGUUUGAUCAUGGCUCAGAUUGAACGCUGGCGGCAGGCCUAACACAUGCAAGUCGAACGGUAACAUUUCUAGCUUGCUAGAAGAUGACGAGUGGCGGACGGGUGAGUAAUGCUUGGGAACUUGCCUUUGCGAGGGGGAUAACAGUUGGAAACGACUGCUAAUACCGCAUAAUGUCUUCGGACCAAACGGGGCUUCGGCUCCGGCGCAAAGAGAGGCCCAAGUGAGAUUAGCUAGUUGGUAAGGUAAAGGCUUACCAAGGCGACGAUCUCUAGCUGUUCUGAGAGGAAGAUCAGCCACACUGGGACUGAGACACGGCCCAGACUCCUACGGGAGGCAGCAGUGGGGAAUAUUGCACAAUGGGGGAAACCCUGAUGCAGCCAUGCCGCGUGUGUGAAGAAGGCCUUCGGGUUGUAAAGCACUUUCAGUUGUGAGGAAAAGUUAGUAGUUAAUACCUGCUAGCCGUGACGUUAACAACAGAAGAAGCACCGGCUAACUCCGUGCCAGCAGCCGCGGUAAUACGGAGGGUGCGAGCGUUAAUCGGAAUUACUGGGCGUAAAGCGCACGCAGGCGGUUUGUUAAGCUAGAUGUGAAAGCCCCGGGCUCAACCUGGGAUGGUCAUUUAGAACUGGCAGACUAGAGUCUUGGAGAGGGGAGUGGAAUUCCAGGUGUAGCGGUGAAAUGCGUAGAUAUCUGGAGGAACAUCAGUGGCGAAGGCGACUCCCUGGCCAAAGACUGACGCUCAUGUGCGAAAGUGUGGGUAGCGAACAGGAUUAGAUACCCUGGUAGUCCAUGCUGUAAACGAUGUCAACUAGCCGUUGGAUUCCCUUGAGGAGUUUAGUGGCGGAGCUAACGCGAUAAGUUGACCGCCU
RNAcentral lists this ribosomal RNA (871 nucleotides) under marine metagenome. RNAcentral's name for it is "bacterial SSU rRNA". It matches the Rfam family "Bacterial small subunit ribosomal RNA", at positions 9 to 873 of the family's 1533-position model. The record is from RNAcentral.